RNAcentral lists this ribosomal RNA (449 nucleotides) under uncultured bacterium. RNAcentral's name for it is "partial 16S ribosomal RNA". It matches the Rfam family "Bacterial small subunit ribosomal RNA", at positions 29 to 523 of the family's 1533-position model. The record is from RNAcentral.
AACGAACGCUGGCGGCAUGCCUAACACAUGCAAGUCGAACGAGAUCUUCGGGUCUAGUGGCGCACGGGUGCGUAACGUGUGGGAAUCUGCCCUUUGGUUCGGAAUAACAGUUGGAAACGACUGCUAAUACCGGAUGAUGACGAAAGUCCAAAGAUUUAUCGCCAGAGGAUGAGCCCGCGUAGGAUUAGCUAGUUGGUGUGGUAAAGGCGCACCAAGGCGACGAUCCUUAGCUGGUCUGAGAGGAUGAUCAGCCACACUGGGACUGAGACACGGCCCAGACUCCUACGGGAGGCAGCAGUGGGGAAUAUGGGACAAUGGGCGAAAGCCUGAUCCAGCAAUGCCGCGUGAGUGAUGAAGGCCUUAGGGUUGUAAAGCUCUUUUACCCGGGAUGAUAGUGACAGUACCGGGAGAAUAAGCUCCGGCUAACUCCGUGCCAGCCGCCGCGGUAA